This 470-nucleotide ribosomal RNA is filed under the name uncultured bacterium. Its description in RNAcentral is "bacterial SSU rRNA". It matches the Rfam family "Bacterial small subunit ribosomal RNA", at positions 145 to 615 of the family's 1533-position model. The record is from RNAcentral.
AGCCCAGAGAAAUUUGGAUUAAUACCCCAUAGUAUGCUGAAGUGGCAUCCUUUAGUAUUAAAGAUUUAUCGAUAUAAGAUGGCUAUGCGUUCUAUUAGCUAGUUGGUUAGGUAACGGCUAACCAAGGCUACGAUAGAUAGGGGUCCUGAGAGGGAGAUCCCCCACACUGGUACUGAGACACGGACCAGACUCCUACGGGAGGCAGCAGUGAGGAAUAUUGGACAAUGGAGGCAACUCUGAUCCAGCCAUGCCGCGUGCAGGAAGACUGCCCUAUGGGUUGUAAACUGCUUUUAUAGAGGAAGAAACCGCUCUACGUGUAGAGCUCUGACGGUACUCUACGAAUAAGGAUCGGCUAACUCCGUGCCAGCAGCCGCGGUAAUACGGAGGAUCCAAGCGUUAUCCGGAAUCAUUGGGUUUAAAGGGUCCGUAGCGGGCUUGUAAGUCAGUGGUGAAAGUUUGCGGCUCAACCG